UUUAAUUCGAAGCAACGCGCAGAACCUUACCAGCCCUUGACAUGGAACGUAUGUUCACCAGAGAUGGUGUCUUGUCUUCGGACGCGUUCACACAGGUGCUGCAUGGCUGUCGUCAGCUCGUGUCGUGAGAUGUUGGGUUAAGUCCCGCAACGAGCGCAACCCUCAUCUUUAGUUGCCAUCAUUUAGUUGGGCACUCUAAAGAAACUGCCGGUGACAAGCCGGAGGAAGGUGGGGAUGACGUCAAGUCCUCAUGGCCCUUACGGGCUGGGCUACACACGUGCUACAAUGGUGGUGACAAUGGGAUGCUAACCCGCGAGGGCAAGCUAAUCUCCAAAAGCCAUCUCAGUUCGGAUUGCACUCUGCAACUCGAGUGCAUGAAGUCGGAAUCGCUAGUAAUCGUGGAUCAGCAU
Molecule: ribosomal RNA, 410 nt
Filed under: uncultured bacterium
Lineage: Bacteria
Description: bacterial SSU rRNA
Rfam family: Bacterial small subunit ribosomal RNA
Source: RNAcentral